AUCAUAUUAAAGUAUUAUCUAACUCUGAUUUUAUGAGAUAAUUAUUUUUGUCUUAUAUACUUACACUUGGCUCAAUUAAGCCACAAAGGCACAAGUUCAGUGGGACACUGAGGGAGCAGUUGUAUUCUGAAGUAAAGCUUCAACUUCAGUCCAUGGAAAUAAUGGGCUUGUUUUGGCCUUUUUCUUUCUUUGGGUUUUUGGUUUGGGUUUUUUUUUUUUUUUUUCUUUUUUCUUUUUCUUCUCUUUUUUAGAUCCAGUAAAAAUGAAGACUACAAGGAGAUUGAAGAGUUUAUAACAAGAAGUGUUCCUGUAGUCUAUAGAGAUGUCUCAGUCUACAGUCCAGCCAGCAAAUUAUUUCCUGUGAAGCCUAUGUGUGUCUGAACUGGCAAGAGAUCAAGCUGUUCAAUUGAAUUUAGCUGCAUUUAACAUGACCAUUUAUAGCAGAUCUGAUGCUGGGUAGUACUAUGUGCUAUGGUCAAAAUAGAUAUUAAAGCAGUGAUUCCAGAGGCUGGCUCCUCUCCUAUGUACAAUCUGUAGUUAUAUUUUAACAUUAUGCUAUUUUAUGUAAACUACCAAUACUAUAUAGUAUUACAAUGUCCUGUUGUCUCCAAGGAUUCCUAAUAUUUUUGUGCUGCAAUGAAAUUCUAUAAAACAAAGAGAAAAAUGAUGCUAUAUUUACAAUCAAGAGAACAUAUCAAUGCCUGUUGUUUGGUAGCAUAAUGAAACUGCUAAUUCAGGGUUUAAUUUUGCCAUUACAAAUAGAGUGGAUAUAUAUUAUUACUGUGUGAUGAUGAUGCAAGAAAUAGCUUAUUCUUGACUGAGAUUUAUACAUCUGUACUUUUUAUUUAUUCUGAAAAAAGAGAGAUAGGUUUGCUAUAUAUAUUCGUAAAGUUACAUGCUUUAAUAUUUUCUUGAAAACAGCUUAAUCUUUAAUAAUUCCAAGCACUCAUAGUCUAUCCUGUCUGUUCUCCCUCCCUCUCCUUCUUCAGAGAGAGAAAUAAAUACAUCUUUGUGUGUACUGCACAUAUAUGUAUGAAAAAUAAACUUCCUCUGUAGCAAGUAAACCCAAGAACAAUGUUGCUAGCAGCUGUUGUGCUUAAAGCCCAGUGCAGAACACUGGUCCGUUAUGAGCUUUCAAUGCUCUUCUCAACAUUAGUAAUCGACGUGCCAGUACAAUAUAUUGUAAAUUCAAAUGCCGAGGCCAGGAGACCACAAAAGCUCCUCUGUCUGAACAGAAAAGUCUUUCACAGUGCUGCAGAAUAUGCUGGCAGACUGCAUCAGUUCAGAGCCCACAGUGUUCCAGAAGAUGGUUAUGUACAAGGAGGACAAAUCUUGUCUAAUCCUUGAUUAAGUAGCUACUAUAACUGUUACUUUUAAAAAAUGAGAAGAAUCAUAUGUAUGUCUCAAAUACAACCAUCAGAUAAUUACAGGCUGCCCAGUGGCUGCAUGAAGCGCAGUAGCUGAAGAACAGAAAAGGUCUUGUGUUCCUUCAGCAGGAGAGGACAUCCUACCCACUCUCACAAACAUAAAGUAAGACCUAUCUUUUAAAAACAGACAUACACCUAUUUCCUCCUGGUUUAUCAAAUACUCUCAUAGACAAUCAUUUUUGCAAGCAGAAAGUUACAAAGCCAAAGAGUUUUAUAGCAACAAUGGUAGUUUUUCUUAAAGGUGAAAUCCCAAGGUAACAAGCACCCAGUCCCAUGAUUUUCACUCACAUUUGUACAUUUGAAGGUGUUGGGAAGAGUUAAUGCUACAUUGGGUAAAAUAGCAUCAAAGUGAAACCAAAUAACUUCUCAUUGCAUGGUCCAUCUAAA
Neopsephotus bourkii (Bourke's parrot) is the source of this 1814-nucleotide long non-coding RNA. RefSeq lists it as uncharacterized. NCBI's taxonomy places the organism in Eukaryota, Metazoa, Chordata, Aves, Psittaciformes, Psittacidae. The transcript is spliced from 2 exons. The record is from RefSeq and is a predicted model, not a curated record.